This 2903-nucleotide ribosomal RNA is filed under the name Escherichia coli DEC2B. RNAcentral describes it as "bacterial LSU rRNA". It matches the Rfam family "Bacterial large subunit ribosomal RNA". The record is from RNAcentral. Lineage: Bacteria; Pseudomonadati; Pseudomonadota; Gammaproteobacteria; Enterobacterales; Enterobacteriaceae.
UUAAGCGACUAAGCGUACACGGUGGAUGCCCUGGCAGUCAGAGGCGAUGAAGGACGUGCUAAUCUGCGAUAAGCGUCGGUGAGGUGAUAUGAACCGUUAUAACCGGCGAUUUCCGAAUGGGGAAACCCAGUGUGUUUCGACACACUAUCAUUAACUGAAUCCAUAGGUUAAUGAGGCGAACCGGGGGAACUGAAACAUCUAAGUACCCCGAGGAAAAGAAAUCAACCGAGAUUCCCCCAGUAGCGGCGAGCGAACGGGGAGGAGCCCAGAGCCUGAAUCAGUGUGUGUGUUAGUGGAAGCGUCUGGAAAGGCGCGCGAUACAGGGUGGCAGCCCCGUACACAAAAAUGCACAUAUUGUGAGCUCGAUGAGUAGGGCGGGACACGUGGUAUCCUGUCUGAAUAUGGGGGGACCAUCCUCCAAGGCUAAAUACUCCUGACUGACCGAUAGUGAACCAGUACCGUGAGGGAAAGGCGAAAAAGAACCCCGGCGAGGGGAGUGAAAAAGAACCUGAAACCGUGUACGUACAAGCAGUGGGAGCCUCUUAAUGGGGUGACUGCGUACCUUUUGUAUAAUGGGUCAGCGACUUAUAUUCUGUAGCAAGGUUAACCGAAUAGGGGAGCCGAAGGGAAACCGAGUCUUAACUGGGCGUUAAGUUGCAGGGUAUAGACCCGAAACCCGGUGAUCUAGCCAUGGGCAGGUUGAAGGUUGGGUAACACUAACUGGAGGACCGAACCGACUAAUGUUGAAAAAUUAGCGGAUGACUUGUGGCUGGGGGUGAAAGGCCAAUCAAACCGGGAGAUAGCUGGUUCUCCCCGAAAGCUAUUUAGGUAGCGCCUCGUGAAUUCAUCUCCGGGGGUAGAGCACUGUUUCGGCAAGGGGGUCAUCCCGACUUACCAACCCGAUGCAAACUGCGAAUACCGGAGAAUGUUAUCACGGGAGACACACGGCGGGUGCUAACGUCCGUCGUGAAGAGGGAAACAACCCAGACCGCCAGCUAAGGUCCCAAAGUCAUGGUUAAGUGGGAAACGAUGUGGGAAGGCCCAGACAGCCAGGAUGUUGGCUUAGAAGCAGCCAUCAUUUAAAGAAAGCGUAAUAGCUCACUGGUCGAGUCGGCCUGCGCGGAAGAUGUAACGGGGCUAAACCAUGCACCGAAGCUGCGGCAGCGACACUAUGUGUUGUUGGGUAGGGGAGCGUUCUGUAAGCCUGUGAAGGUGGCCUGUGAGGGUUGCUGGAGGUAUCAGAAGUGCGAAUGCUGACAUAAGUAACGAUAAAGCGGGUGAAAAGCCCGCUCGCCGGAAGACCAAGGGUUCCUGUCCAACGUUAAUCGGGGCAGGGUGAGUCGACCCCUAAGGCGAGGCCGAAAGGCGUAGUCGAUGGGAAACAGGUUAAUAUUCCUGUACUUGGUGUUACUGCGAAGGGGGGACGGAGAAGGCUAUGUUGGCCGGGCGACGGUUGUCCCGGUUUAAGCGUGUAGGCUGGUUUUCCAGGCAAAUCCGGAAAAUCAAGGCUGAGGCGUGAUGACGAGGCACUACGGUGCUGAAGCGACAAAUGCCCUGCUUCCAGGAAAAGCCUCUAAGCAUCAGGUAACAUCAAAUCGUACCCCAAACCGACACAGGUGGUCAGGUAGAGAAUACCAAGGCGCUUGAGAGAACUCGGGUGAAGGAACUAGGCAAAAUGGUGCCGUAACUUCGGGAGAAGGCACGCUGAUAUGUAGGUGAAGCGACUUGCUCGUGGAGCUGAAAUCAGUCGAAGAUACCAGCUGGCUGCAACUGUUUAUUAAAAACACAGCACUGUGCAAACACGAAAGUGGACGUAUACGGUGUGACGCCUGCCCGGUGCCGGAAGGUUAAUUGAUGGGGUUAGCGGUAACGCGAAGCUCUUGAUCGAAGCCCCGGUAAACGGCGGCCGUAACUAUAACGGUCCUAAGGUAGCGAAAUUCCUUGUCGGGUAAGUUCCGACCUGCACGAAUGGCGUAAUGAUGGCCAGGCUGUCUCCACCCGAGACUCAGUGAAAUUGAACUCGCUGUGAAGAUGCAGUGUACCCGCGGCAAGACGGAAAGACCCCGUGAACCUUUACUAUAGCUUGACACUGAACAUUGAGCCUUGAUGUGUAGGAUAGGUGGGAGGCUUUGAAGUGUGGACGCCAGUCUGCAUGGAGCCGGCCUUGAAAUACCACCCUUUAAUGUUUGAUGUUCUAACGUUGGCCCGUAAUCCGGGUUGCGGACAGUGUCUGGUGGGUAGUUUGACUGGGGCGGUCUCCUCCUAAAGAGUAACGGAGGAGCACGAAGGUUGGCUAAUCCUGGUCGGACAUCAGGAGGUUAGUGCAAUGGCAUAAGCCAGCUUGACUGCGAGCGUGACGGCGCGAGCAGGUGCGAAAGCAGGUCAUAGUGAUCCGGUGGUUCUGAAUGGAAGGGCCAUCGCUCAACGGAUAAAAGGUACUCCGGGGAUAACAGGCUGAUACCGCCCAAGAGUUCAUAUCGACGGCGGUGUUUGGCACCUCGAUGUCGGCUCAUCACAUCCUGGGGCUGAAGUAGGUCCCAAGGGUAUGGCUGUUCGCCAUUUAAAGUGGUACGCGAGCUGGGUUUAGAACGUCGUGAGACAGUUCGGUCCCUAUCUGCCGUGGGCGCUGGAGAACUGAGGGGGGCUGCUCCUAGUACGAGAGGACCGGAGUGGACGCAUCACUGGUGUUCGGGUUGUCAUGCCAAUGGCACUGCCCGGUAGCUAAAUGCGGAAGAGAUAAGUGCUGAAAGCAUCUAAGCACGAAACUUGCCCCGAGAUGAGUUCUCCCUGACCCUUUAAGGGUCCUGAAGGAACGUUGAAGACGACGACGUUGAUAGGCCGGGUGUGUAAGCGCAGCGAUGCGUUGAGCUAACCGGUACUAAUGAACCGUGAGGCUUAACCUU